AGUGAACGCUGGCGGUAGGCCUAACACAUGCAAGUCGAACGGCAGCACAGUAAGAGCUUGCUCUUACGGGUGGCGAGUGGCGGACGGGUGAGGAAUACAUCGGAAUCUACUUUUUCGUGGGGGAUAACGUAGGGAAACUUACGCUAAUACCGCAUACGACCUACGGGUGAAAGCAGGGGAUCUUCGGACCUUGCGCGAUUGAAUGAGCCGAUGUCGGAUUAGCUAGUUGGCGGGGUAAAGGCCCACCAAGGCGACGAUCCGUAGCUGGCCUGAGAGGAUGAUCAGCCACACGGGAACUGAGACACGGUCCAGACUCCGAAGGGAGGCAGCAGUGGGGAAUAUUGGACAAUGGGCGCAAGCCUGAUCCAGCCAUACCGCGGGGGUGAAGAAGGCCUUCGGGUUGUAAAGCCCUUUUGUUGGGAAAGAAAAGCAGCAGGUUAAUACCCCGCUGUUCUGACGGUACCCAAAGAAUAAACACCGGCUAACUUCGU
Molecule: ribosomal RNA, 491 nt
Filed under: uncultured bacterium
Lineage: Bacteria
Description: partial 16S ribosomal RNA
Rfam family: Bacterial small subunit ribosomal RNA
Source: RNAcentral